AGUGAACGCUGGCGGCGUGCUUAACACAUGCAAGUCGAACGAGAACGGAUUAUAGCUUGCUAUAAUUGUCAGCUAAGUGGCGCACGGGUGAGUAAUGUAUAGGUAAUAUGCCUCUUACUAAGGGAUAACAAUUGGAAACGAUUGCUAAUACCUUAUAUUCCUUUUUAUCAAAAGAUAAAAAGGGAAAGAUUUAUUGGUAAGAGAUUAGCCUGUAUUGUAUCAGUUAGUUGGUGGGGUAAUGGCCUACCAAGACGAUGACGCAUAACUGGUUUGAGAGGAUGAUCAGUCACACUGGAACUGAGACACGGUCCAGACUCCUACGGGAGGCAGCAGUGGGGAAUAUUGCACAAUGGACGAAAGUCUGAUGCAGUAACGCCGCGUGGAGGAUGACACAUUUCGGUGCGUAAACUCCUUUUAUAUAAGAAGAUAAUGACGGUAUUAUAUGAAUAAGCACCGGCUAACUCCGUGCCAGCAGCCGCGGUAAUACGGAGGGUGCAAGCGUUACU
RNAcentral lists this ribosomal RNA (506 nucleotides) under uncultured bacterium. RNAcentral describes it as "bacterial SSU rRNA". It matches the Rfam family "Bacterial small subunit ribosomal RNA", at positions 28 to 545 of the family's 1533-position model. The record is from RNAcentral.